RNA transcript from Lactuca sativa (garden lettuce), 601 nucleotides. It is a transcript of the gene named protein NUCLEAR FUSION DEFECTIVE 6, mitochondrial, with no coding region annotated. The record is from RefSeq and is a predicted model, not a curated record. NCBI's taxonomy places the organism in Eukaryota, Viridiplantae, Streptophyta, Magnoliopsida, Asterales, Asteraceae.
AGGCACAUAAAUUAGGCAAAAACCGUAAAACCCUCACAUACGCACAGAAAUGGCGACUGCAGCGGCCGCAGCUCGAUCUGCUUUCCGAUCAACUUCUCUCCGUAACGUGGCGGCGAGGGCAGCAUCCCAGCCCAAAGCUGCGCCCUCUGCGUUUCGCAUCCCUAGUCGGAAUUCUCUAUCUCAACGCAUUUUCCGUUGUCCAGUAGAAAUGAGUGCUUGUUUGGAGUCAAUGCAACCUUUCCACACUGCUACUGCUUCGGCCUUGAUGACAUCCAUGCUUACCCUUUCUCAAAACGGCUAUGGUUGGCUCCCCGAAGGUAUCUAACGAAGCUUCAUAGGUCCCUCAAUGUUGUUACCUCUUACCUCAUGAGUUUUAGGCGUUGACAAGACGAGAUGAAGAUGGAGAGAAGCAAAGAUGGAAUGAGUUGGACUUGUCUUUUUUUUUUUUUUUUUUUUGAGUAGGGAACAUUUAGGUCCAUUAGAGUUAUAUUUCUUGAACCAAUAAUGAAAUAUAAACUUUUGAAAUGAGUUUACUAGUUUGAUAUUGUGUUGAAUUUUAUGACAUGGCUCACAUUGAUAUUGUAGUUUUCAAAUUCAAGUA